This 489-nucleotide long non-coding RNA is filed under the name Marmota monax (woodchuck). The record is from RNAcentral. Lineage: Eukaryota; Metazoa; Chordata; Mammalia; Rodentia; Sciuridae.
UUGGUGACCUUUGUAGCAAAAUCUAUGGAUCUAUCAUAUGUGAAAUUGGAUUCCAAAAUCAAAGGAGAGACAAGGAGGCAGAAAAAUAUUUUGAAAAACUGCAGUUUUUCCUGUUUAAUGUAAACUAUACACCUAGAGAUCCAUGAAGUUCAACAAACCCAAAGUGGGAUAGACACAAAGAACAUCACACUAACACACAUCAUAUUUAAUAAGGUAAAAAUGGAUAAGAAAGAAGAUUUUAAAAGCAGCUGGUCAGGGGAAAUCACCACACCCUGGAAAACAAACAUAAGGAUGUGACUACGACCUCAUUGUUGGAAACAAACAAUAGCACAAUGAAAUAUGUCUGAGAAGAAAACCCUGCCGACCUAGAAAUCUAUAUCCAACAAAAAUAUGUUACAAAAAAGCAAAGGCAGAAUAGUUAUUCAAGUAAAAAGUAAGAGAAUUCAUUGCAAGCAAAUUAGACUAAAGAAAUGUUUAGAAAGCUCUCGG